AAGCAGGGGAUCACUUGUGACCUUGCGCUAAUAGAUGAGCCUAAGUCGGAUUAGCUAGUUGGUGGGGUAAAGGCCUACCAAGGCGACGAUCUGUAGCGGGUCUGAGAGGAUGAUCCGCCACACUGGGACUGAGACACGGCCCAGACUCCUACGGGAGGCAGCAGUGGGGAAUAUUGGACAAUGGGGGGAACCCUGAUCCAGCCAUGCCGCGUGUGUGAAGAAGGCCUUUUGGUUGUAAAGCACUUUAAGCGAGGAGGAGGCUACUCUAGUUAAUACCUAGGGAUAGUGGACGUUACUCGCAGAAUAAGCACCGGCUAACUCUGUGCCAGCAGCCGCGGUAAUACAGAGGGUGCGAGCGUUAAUCGGAUUUACUGGGCGUAAAGCGUGCGUAGGUGGCCAAUUAAGUCAAAUGUGAAAUCCCCGAGCUUAACUUGGGAAUUGCAUUCGAUACUGGUUGGCUAGAGUAUGGGAGAGGAUGGUAGAAUUCCAGGUGUAGCGGUGAAAUGCGUAGAGAUCUGGAGGAAUACCGAUGGCGAAGGCAGCCAUCUGGCCUAAUACUGACACUGAGGUACGAAAGCAUGGGGAGCAAACAGGAUUAGAUACCCUGGUAGUCCAUGCCGUAAACGAUGUCUACUAGCCGUUGGGGUCUUUGA
This 653-nucleotide ribosomal RNA is filed under the name Acinetobacter sp. 1AA12. RNAcentral's name for it is "bacterial SSU rRNA". It matches the Rfam family "Bacterial small subunit ribosomal RNA", at positions 202 to 835 of the family's 1533-position model. The record is from RNAcentral. Lineage: Bacteria; Pseudomonadati; Pseudomonadota; Gammaproteobacteria; Moraxellales; Moraxellaceae.